UAUAAGUAAGUGGUGGAAGAAAAAAUAAACAUGAUUCUUUUAGUAAUGGCGAAUGAACAAAGACAUGGUCAUUUUGAAAAUUGUGGUCUUAGAUCAUGAAUUGUAUUUUCAAAAUGCAUUGCUAACACAACUGCACAUGUUUGUUUAUUGGAAAGAACAUCACAAAGGGUGACAAUCCCAUGUGUCAUGUGUAUGUUUUGUGUACAGCGUGCAUUAUAUGAAUCACAUUCAUUGACAAUUGAAUGCAAAUAGAAUGGUAAAUUUCAUUUAAUCAUAAAUAUGUUGUUGACAACUUAUAGCAAACAAAUACCAUGAGGGAAAUGUGAAAAGGAUUUUGAAAAGAAAAUUAAAAGAGCUUGCAAUUGCUGAACUGAUAAGCAAACAAAACAUACGUGUGUAUGCAAGAUUGUUGUAAUGCUUAGCAUCCUAUGCAAGGCUAUUGCAAUGAUUUUUUGUAUAGUGAUGCUACCUUUUUUUAGAAUUUGGAAUGUCUUUUUUUGAGUGUGAAUGGAAUUUUGUUUGUUAGCAAAGGAAUGCACUUUUAGAUUCAUUGUUUGAUUUGAUUUAAAAAUGUUUGUGACACGUGUCUUUGUUUUAGUUUCAUGCUUCAACCAAGGACAUUGUGUUUGAUCCAUAUCAGCAAUACAUGUUUUGUUUGACCCGUCUU
RNAcentral lists this ribosomal RNA (667 nucleotides) under Coolia malayensis. Its description in RNAcentral is "eukaryotic LSU rRNA". It matches the Rfam family "Eukaryotic large subunit ribosomal RNA", at positions 41 to 655 of the family's 3401-position model. The record is from RNAcentral. Lineage: Eukaryota; Dinophyceae; Peridiniales; Ostreopsidaceae.